This 2340-nucleotide long non-coding RNA is filed under the name Dasypus novemcinctus (nine-banded armadillo). Its description in RNAcentral is "lncRNA (ENSDNOG00000052316.1)". The record is from RNAcentral. Lineage: Eukaryota; Metazoa; Chordata; Mammalia; Cingulata; Dasypodidae.
CCGGGAAGCAGACCGGCAGAGGAAUGGAGAGGUUUGGGUUCUCUUUUAAUUUCAAGCAAUAGGGUCCCGGGCUCCCCAUCUGUAAAGGGAGGUGUUUGGCCCAAAUGGUGCCGGGGUCCUUCCCACUCUCUCCUUUCACUAAGUCCGUCCUGGGCCAGGUUGGCAAUGAAGGUCAAGAGGCUGGAGACGAGAGCAGGGAGCCCUUCACCAACUCCCACCUCCUCAAAGCCCCGCACAACAGGAGUAACCAGCAAUUACGUAAAGCCUGAUGCUCUGCAGGUUACUUGUUCGUGUAUUAACAAGAGGAGUGAUUGUCAACUUUUUUUGUACAGCUGAGAAAUCUGAAGUUCAGGAAAGUGACCAAGUGCACACAGGGGUAAGCGGCAGAGCUGGGAUUUGAACCCAGACAUUUCAACUCCCAGUUCAAUGCUCUUUCAUUCGCAACAUCCUGUUUUACCGUAGAAGCGGAUUAAAAUAAAAGCUUGAGUUUGAGGGGUGUGGAGGCUUUUGCAUCACUCCUUGAGAUGGCUAGCAAAAGUGGUGUGGCUGAGCCUGGGUCGGGCGUCCUGGCUGGCCACGGGUGCACUGGCUUCUGAGCGGAAGCAGGGCUGGUUUUGAACUUUCCUCCUGCUUGCAGAUGGGGAGACUGAGGUGCUCCCAGAUCUGCUUUCUGCGGCUGCUUCCGGAUCUGACAAAGGGAUUGGAUGGAGGACACAGUAGCCUGUGUUUUUUUAGUUCUCACAAUUGUCUCUGGAGUUCCGGGAGCACAGUGGAUCCCCCAAAUAGCCUCUGGCUUCAAGUUGCCAUCUGCUUACUUUUUGGAAGCCAAGCCCCCCCCUUUCCCUGGAAGAUAAUGGAGAGCUGGCCCCAUUACUUCUGCGUGAGUCACAAGUCUCCACCCUUCUGCUGAACAGGCUGAUGUGUCCCCUGACACACAUUUGAUAAACUGGUGCACGGGCAAAGAAACAAACCCAAAGUACUACCGGAGUAGAGAUGUGUAGAGGCCACGUUGCUUUUGAUGAGGUAAGUGCCAGCGGUAGCCCAGGGACUUCCUUCUGAUAGACCUGACUCACGUGGUGGAGCACCUUCCAGGUGGCCCCCAGAGAGCCAUGCCUCCUGGGAUUCAUGUCCUCGUCAGGCAGGCGCCUCCCACACUGAACUUGGCUGCCCUGUGCAACCAGUAGGCAACAGAAUGAUGGCGUGUGACCUCUGAGGUUGGGCCCUGGAAGGUAUUGAGGCUUCUGCCUUCUUCUGGAUCACACAUGCUUUGGGAGCCGCUAUAUUGUGAGUUCACUCAAGCAGCCUUGUGGAUCGGUCCAUGCAAUGAGGGAUGAAGGUCUCCUGCCAACAGUCAGCUGUGGGACAACAGAGACUCUCAAAAGUGGAGACUCCAACCUGGCCACACAUUCAGAUGACCAUGGCCUCGGCUGGCAUCUUAACCUCCUGAGAUAUUCUGGACCAGAACCACCCAGCUAAGUCAUUCUUGGAUUUCUAACCCACAGAAACUUUGACAUAAGAAACUGUUAUUGUUGUUUUAAGCUGCUAGGUGUGGGGCUAAUUUCUUACACAGCAACAGAUAACUAAUACACCCAUGGUAGGUACACAGGGACUUAUGACUCAGUCUGGACUCAUGUAUAGCUCACAUUUUCCCAGUGUUUCCAUCAAACAUGGUGUCCUAUCCAUCCAUUUCUCCUCCGCUGCUUUGGUUGAUGAGCAGACCACUGGCAUAUAUUAUGCCAUGGUGAGUCAUUUCCACUGUUGGAUCACAGCAGGAACAUUGGGCAGUCUUCUUCAGGCUCUGAAGUUUGCUUUACACUGGUGCAGUGUGGAAGCUGGAGUGCCCACGAAGACUCUUAAACUGUGAAUGGACAUCACGAGUUUUUUUUUUGGUGAAGUUAGGCAGCAGAUUGGCAGGACGACACCCCUUCUCAGGCAGGCUUCCUGAGCCUCAGCCUGCAGGUGAAGACUUACCUCCUCUUUCCAUGGUAAUUCUAUAAGUUGGGAGAGUAGAUCUCAGAAGAGUCCAGUCACAUAGUCACUUAUUAGGGAACAAGAGUUCCCAAAUUUCAGAACAGAGAUGAUGGGGCCAACAUCUCUCGUUCAUCGGAAGCAAGAGAGACAAAUGAAAGUAGGAAGACUAGAAGAGUGUGGUGUGAGGCCCCGUACGUAGCACAUGAAGACAUUGUACAAUAUUUGUUGAGCAAAUGAGUGACCCAGCCAAGGGGAUGAUGGUUUCCCAUGCUCUCCUCUCCUCGGAGAGAACCUAGGGAUGGGGGCCGUAGUCUGUUCUGGAGCUGACGCUUUUAGAGGAACAUGGGAAAACAGCAGCACAAGUACGGA